RNAcentral lists this transfer RNA (76 nucleotides) under Occallatibacter sp. RNAcentral describes it as "tRNA-Thr". It matches the Rfam family "tRNA". From Rfam's summary of the family: Transfer RNA (tRNA) molecules are approximately 80 nucleotides in length. Their secondary structure includes four short double-helical elements and three loops (D, anti-codon, and T loops). Lineage: Bacteria; Pseudomonadati; Acidobacteriota; Terriglobia; Terriglobales; Acidobacteriaceae. The record is from RNAcentral.
GCUGGUGUGGCAGAGAUGGCAAUGCACCUCACCCGUAACGAGGCCGAUGCCGGUUCGAUUCCGGCCGCCAGCUCCA